ACUGGGGGCAGUGGUGCACACCUGUAAUCCCAGUGACUCAGGAGGCUGAGGCAGGAGGAUCACAAGUUUGAGGCUGGCCUCGGCAAUUUAGUGAGGCCCGCAGUAACUUAGUGAGACCCUGUCUCAA
Molecule: small RNA, 127 nt
Filed under: Marmota monax (woodchuck)
Lineage: Eukaryota; Metazoa; Chordata; Mammalia; Rodentia; Sciuridae
Source: RNAcentral